AAGGUGCAUUUCUCAGAUUAACUAAAGACUAACUUAUGCGAAAGCAUUUGCCAAGGAUGUUUUCAUCAAUCAAGAACGAAAGU
Molecule: ribosomal RNA, 83 nt
Filed under: uncultured eukaryote
Lineage: Eukaryota
Description: partial small subunit ribosomal RNA
Source: RNAcentral